UACGGAAGGGGCUAGCGUUGUUCGGAAUCACUGGGCGUAAAGCGCGCGUAGGCGGCUUGGCAAGUGAGGCGUGAAAGUCCUGGGCUCAACCCGGGGACGGCGCUUCAGACUGCGGGGCUAGAGUCCGGAAGAGGGUGGUGGAAUUCCGAGUGUAGAGGUGAAAUUCGUAGAUAUUCGGAGGAACACCGGCGGCGAAGGCGGCCACCUGGUCCGGAACUGACGCUCAAGUGCGAAAGCGUGGGGAGCAAACAGGAUUAGAUGCCCUGGUAGUCCACGCCGUAAACGAUGGGUGCUGGAUGUCGGGGGGCUUGCCCUUCGGUGUCGUAGCUAACGCGUUAAGCACCCCGCCUGGGGAGUACGGCCGCAAGGUUAAA
RNAcentral lists this ribosomal RNA (374 nucleotides) under uncultured bacterium. Its description in RNAcentral is "bacterial SSU rRNA". It matches the Rfam family "Bacterial small subunit ribosomal RNA", at positions 524 to 898 of the family's 1533-position model. The record is from RNAcentral.